UACCGCAUAACCAUAGUUACCGCAUGGUAACUAUGUAAAAGGUGGCUAUGCUACCGCUUUUGGAUGGGCCCGCGACGCAUUAGCUAGUUGGUGGGGUAAAGGCUUACCAAGGCAAUGAUGCGUAGCCGAACUGAGAGGUUGAUCGGCCACAUUGGGACUGAGACACGGCCCAAACUCCUACGGGAGGCAGCAGUGGGGAAUCUUCCACAAUGGGCGAAAGCCUGAUGGAGCAACGCCGCGUGGGUGAAGAAGGUCUUCGGAUCGUAAAACCCUGUUGUUAGAGAAGAAAGUGCGUGAGAGUAACUGUUCACGUUUCGACGGUAUCUAACCAGAAAGCCACGGCUAACUACGUGCCAGCAGCCGCGGUAAUACGUAGGUGGCAAGCGUUAUCCGGAUUUAUUGGGCGUAAAGAGAACGCAGGCGGUCUUUUAAGUCUGAUGUGAAAGCCUUCGGCUUAACCGGAGUAGUGCAUUGGAAACUGGGAGACUUGAGUGCAGAAGAGGAGAGUGGAACUCCAUGUGUAGCGGUGAAAUGCGUAGAUAUAUGGAAGAACACCAGUGGCGAAAGCGGCUCUCUGGUCUGUAACUGACGCUGAGGUUCGAAAGCGUGGGUAGCAAACAGGAUUAGAUACCCUGGUAGUCCACGCCGUAAACGAC
RNAcentral lists this ribosomal RNA (656 nucleotides) under uncultured bacterium. Its description in RNAcentral is "bacterial SSU rRNA". It matches the Rfam family "Bacterial small subunit ribosomal RNA", at positions 167 to 810 of the family's 1533-position model. The record is from RNAcentral.